RNAcentral lists this unclassified non-coding RNA (734 nucleotides) under Hevea brasiliensis (rubber tree). The record is from RNAcentral. Lineage: Eukaryota; Viridiplantae; Streptophyta; Magnoliopsida; Malpighiales; Euphorbiaceae.
CAGAAAACUAAUUACAUACAGUUAGAUUACACCCACAGAUUUUUCUUUUUUUCAAUAUUUUUUUUUCCAAAUAGUGACAAAACGAAUUAAACACAUACCCGAGAAAAGAGUCUGUGAGGUUAGGUUCCUCUUCUCAUUUUUAUGCCAGAAUUUAUUUAUUUAUUUAGUUUGCUUAUCUGGGCUCUGACAAGCUGUUCCUCACCGAGAGGAGUCGAAUGAUAAUUCUUCAACCUAAAAGGUAACCACUAUCAAGCUUCCAUCUUUAUGUUCUCACAUUGAUCUCUGCUCAACAUUAUUGCAUCUUUUUGUUUCAAUGGAUAUCUCGUUUGCAACAUAGUCAGUUUUGGAUCUCACUGCGUAUUGGGGUUUUUGAUCUGUAAUGUUAUCUGAGCUGGGGUGGAUUUUUUUGUUUUAGUUGUGGUGUUUGGAUGAAUGGGUUUUUUUGCUGGAUGCCUAAAAUUUUCAUCUGGGCUUUAAAUGUUUGUUCUCUCUUCUUGUUUACGAUGAACUAGGGCUUGCAUUUCAAAUUUUGUUAAGGCUUCUCGGGAGGCAGUUAGGGUUUUGAGAUUUUAUUGCUGUUGUGGAUUAGGGUUUUGGGAAUUUAUUAAUAUGGAUGGUGUUGGAGAAUCAUCUGAAUCUGGAUCUACUGUAUCUACUCCCAAGUUGAUAAAAAGUGGGAGUGUGCGCGAUGAUGAUGCUUGUCCUAGGCAAGUGUCACCAAUUAGGAUUGGUGC